Molecule: ribosomal RNA, 704 nt
Filed under: Trematosphaeria pertusa
Lineage: Eukaryota; Fungi; Ascomycota; Dothideomycetes; Pleosporales; Trematosphaeriaceae
Description: eukaryotic LSU rRNA
Rfam family: Eukaryotic large subunit ribosomal RNA
Source: RNAcentral
AUUGCCCUAGUAAUGGCGAAUGAAGCGGCAACAGCUCAAAUUUGAAAUCUGGCCCUCCUUCUUGGGGGGUCCGAGUUGUAAUUUGCAGAGGGUGCUUUGGCGUUGGUGGCGGUCUAAGUUCCUUGGAACAGGCCAUCGCAGAGGGUGAGAAUCCCGUAUGUGGUCGCCCGCCUUCGCCGUGUAAAGCCCCCUCGACGAGUCGCGUUGUUUGGGAAUGCAGCGCAAAAUGGGAGGUAAAUUUCUUCUAAAGCUAAAUACUGGCCAGAGACCGAUAGCGCACAAGUAGAGUGAUCGAAAGAUGAAAAGCACUUUGGAAAGAGAGUCAAAUAGCACGUGAAAUUGUUGAAAGGGAAGCGCUUGCAGCCAGACGUGUCUGCGGUUGCUCAGCCGGGCUCCCCCCCGGUGCACUCUUCCGCAGGCAGGCCAGCAUCAGUUUGGGCGACUGGUAGAAAGACCUCUGUCACGUAUCUUCCUUCGGGAUGACCUUAUAGGGGAGGUGUAAUGCAGCCAGCCUGGACUGAGGGACCGCGCUUCGGCGAGGAUGCUGGCGUAAUGGCUGUAAGCGGCCCGUCUUGAAACACGGACCAAGGAGUCUAACAUCUAUGCGAGUGUUUGGGUGUCAAGCCCGGGCGCGCAAUGAAAGUAAACGGAGGUGGGAACCCCUCCUUGCGGGGGGGGCGCACCAUCGACCGAUCCUGAUGUCU